Molecule: long non-coding RNA, 356 nt
Filed under: Mytilus galloprovincialis (Mediterranean mussel)
Lineage: Eukaryota; Metazoa; Mollusca; Bivalvia; Mytilida; Mytilidae
Source: RNAcentral
GGCGUUGGAAUUUCCAAAAUAUCUGUUGUUACCAUGGAAACAAUGCAAAAAGGUCAAAACUUUGAAUUUUCACAGAACAUUCUAGAACAUCAAUGUUAAAUUUAUUCUAGAGACAUUAAAUGGUAUAUGAUUGGUAUAUGAUUAUGGAGGGAAAAAAUUGCAGCGGGGGUUUGACUUUGGAAUAUUCAAAAUGGCCGCCGUUACCAUGGAAACAGCAAAAAUACAAAAAAACUUCAAAAUGCUUCAAAUUUAUUGAAACUUAUAACAAAUGUUGCUCAGCUAAUGUAGACUUGACUUUUGAGUUUGGAAUUUCCAAAAUGGCCGCCGUUACCAUGGAAACAGCAAAAAUGCAAAAA